Molecule: long non-coding RNA, 435 nt
Organism: Cydia splendana
Lineage: Eukaryota; Metazoa; Arthropoda; Insecta; Lepidoptera; Tortricidae
Exons: 3
Source: RefSeq, a predicted model, not a curated record
AUAAGUAAAUUGCGCAUGAUGAAUAAGCUACGUUAUAUCGUAAAUGUUUUAUGGCUAUGGCUACACGAUACGUAUAGAAAUUUUAUCACGCAACAAUGGAAGCAUACAAUAUUUUUCUAGUGUUUUUUAUAAUAUUAGGCAUACAACAGUAUAAUGCAAUGAGAUAUGAAGUACCAAGAGAGUUUCGAUAUAUAAACUAUGUACAAACUGAGUAUUAUCUACCAAAGAAACGAACAAUACCGUGGAACAGAAGAAUGCAUUCAAGAAGACGUUUUCUGUAAUAACUCUUAUUAAAUCAUCUGCAACUGUUCCGGGAAGUAGUGAGAGAAGCGACAAAUGCUACCAAACUGACAUUCUCCCCUCAUAAACCGACUGCAUGGUUUCUUCAUACUUUCUUCUUCCAGGAUAGUCUCCGGUACUAAAAUUAUAUAAAAC